Astyanax mexicanus (Mexican tetra) is the source of this 1314-nucleotide long non-coding RNA. RefSeq lists it as uncharacterized. The transcript has 2 exons. Lineage: Eukaryota; Metazoa; Chordata; Actinopteri; Characiformes; Acestrorhamphidae. The record is from RefSeq and is a predicted model, not a curated record.
GUCUUUAGCUAAGGAAGGUAAUCAAGCCCACGCUAACAGGAUUUGCCAGCCUAAGAAUGGCAUUUGCUCUUUUCAGAUUAGUUAUUUCUGUACAACGGAUUAGCUUUCUUUAGAGACACAAAUUAGGAUUACUUUACACUUAGUAUCAGUGACACUGUGCGUGUGUGUGUCUGUGUCUCGGCCUGUGUGUGCUUGUCUGUAUAUGUGUGUGCGCAUUUGGCUCAGUGCAGCAAAGAGCAGCAGUGAUAUCAGGCAAACCUUGCAUGGAAGGGAUUACACCAGGCCGUGUGAUGAUUAUUCUCUGAGACAGAUUUUAGAGUGACAAGACCAGGGGGCAUCAUGUAAUACUGCCAAUAAAAGCAUGCUAAAACACAGUGUGUGCAAUUCAACCUCCUUAGAUGGUCGUAGGAUUAGCAGAGUUAUGUCUAUUUGCAAGAAAAUAUAGGUGUAACCCUGUUAAAAUAAUCAUCCUGUAGCUGAGCCAUUCUGUAGAGUCAGCCGACCCCUCCCACCUUUCUCUCUUUCCCCUCUCCCCACCCUCCUACCUUCACUCUCUACCUUGUACUCUCCCAGAGUGAGUGUGUUUAGAGCAGGUGCUGAGUCGUCAUUUUCGGGUGCUGAUUUACAGUUAAAAACGCUGUUAAAUCUUCUAAAAGAGACCUAAAAUACUUUGUUUCUGUUCUGUUGGUGUAUAUGAGCCACAAGUUGGAUAAACCCUCGUCUGUCUGUUCUAUUUUGUGGAGAAACUUCGGUUGUUUUAAUUGAUGGGAAAAACGCGCGAACUUUUUUAGUCCAAGAUGGCGAGCCAACCCAAGACUACAUGUCCCAGAAUACUGUGCGAGUGACGUCAGCAGCGUGAGCACGCAAACUGCACCGCUGAGAGAGAGAGAGUCAGACCACAGAUAAGAGGAGCCAAGCACUUGAUACACACGCACACAAUCACUAGUCUACCCGGGUAGUGAAGAUCUAAAUACACAUUUCACACACUUUGGGACAAAAUUACACACACAAAGGGAAAAGAAGAGGAAGCCUGACAGAACAUCGUUUAAACUUAAAGACUGUAACUAAAAGAACAACUUGAUAUUUAUUUUUCCUUUGUAUUACUGAAACUGGCCAUUUUGUGUUUUUUUCCUUAAUUGUUUAUUUUCUAUUUUUAACUGAUCAGAGCCCCAUUGAACUAUUUUUCUUAUUUUCAUACCCCCCUUCUGCUACUCUAAAACAUUUUAUUUGUUUAUUUUAUCAAAUACACCUACACUUACACAGUAACAACAAAUCAUUUGUUAAUAAAUCUAAAUUGUUCAUUUUUACCCUGUA